RNAcentral lists this non-coding RNA (30 nucleotides) under Rattus norvegicus (Norway rat). The record is from RNAcentral. Lineage: Eukaryota; Metazoa; Chordata; Mammalia; Rodentia; Muridae.
UGACUUUUAUGGUGUUCAAAUUUGUGCUGC